UCUCCGUUGGUGAACCAGCGGAGGGAUCAUUACAGAGUUGCAAAACUCCCAAACCAUUGUGAACGUUACCUAUCCCGUUGCUUCGGCGGGCGGCCCGGGCCCCGCGCCCGGCGCCCCCCGGCCCCCCGUGGGCGCCCGCCGGAGGUAAACCAAACCCUUGAAUUGCAUGGCCUCUCUGAGUCUUCUGUACUGAAUAAGUUAAAACUUUUAACAACGGAUCUCUUGGUUCUG
RNAcentral lists this unclassified non-coding RNA (231 nucleotides) under plant metagenome. RNAcentral describes it as "partial contains small subunit ribosomal RNA, internal transcribed spacer 1, and 5.8S ribosomal RNA". The record is from RNAcentral.